This 482-nucleotide ribosomal RNA is filed under the name uncultured bacterium. Its description in RNAcentral is "bacterial SSU rRNA". It matches the Rfam family "Bacterial small subunit ribosomal RNA", at positions 30 to 507 of the family's 1533-position model. The record is from RNAcentral.
AUUGAACGCUGGCGGCAUGCCUUACACAUGCAAGUCGAACGGUAACAGGUCCUCGGAUGCUGACGAGUGGCGAACGGGUGAGUAAUACAUCGGAACGUGCCCGAUCGUGGGGGAUAACGGAGCGAAAGCUUUGCUAAUACCGCAUACGAUCUACGGAUGAAAGCAGGGGACCGCAAGGCCUUGCGCGGACGGAGCGGCCGAUGGCAGAUUAGGUAGUUGGUGGGAUAAAAGCUUACCAAGCCGACGAUCUGUAGCUGGUCUGAGAGGACGACCAGCCACACUGGGACUGAGACACGGCCCAGACUCCUACGGGAGGCAGCAGUGGGGAAUUUUGGACAAUGGGCGCAAGCCUGAUCCAGCCAUGCCGCGUGCAGGAUGAAGGCCUUCGGGUUGUAAACUGCUUUUGUACGGAACGAAAAGACUCCUUCUAAUAAAGAGGGUCCAUGACGGUACCGUAAGAAUAAGCACCGGCUAACUACGUG